GGUUAAGCGACUAAGCGUACACGGUGGAUGCCCUGGCAGUCAGAGGCGAUGAAGGACGUGCUAAUCUGCGAUAAGCGUCGGUAAGGUGAUAUGAACCGUUAUAACCGGCGAUUUCCGAAUGGGGAAACCCAGUGUGAUUCGUCACACUAUCAUUAACUGAAUCCAUAGGUUAAUGAGGCGAACCGGGGGAACUGAAACAUCUAAGUACCCCGAGGAAAAGAAAUCAACCGAGAUUCCCCCAGUAGCGGCGAGCGAACGGGGAGCAGCCCAGAGCCUGAAUCAGUGUGUGUGUUAGUGGAAGCGUCUGGAAAGGCGC
Molecule: ribosomal RNA, 316 nt
Filed under: Escherichia coli
Lineage: Bacteria; Pseudomonadati; Pseudomonadota; Gammaproteobacteria; Enterobacterales; Enterobacteriaceae
Also listed under: 1 other name
Description: partial 23S ribosomal RNA
Rfam family: Bacterial large subunit ribosomal RNA
Source: RNAcentral